This 1605-nucleotide small RNA is filed under the name Oryza sativa Japonica Group (Japanese rice). RNAcentral describes it as "misc RNA Os03g0591000". The record is from RNAcentral. Lineage: Eukaryota; Viridiplantae; Streptophyta; Magnoliopsida; Poales; Poaceae.
CUCUUUCUUUUCCUCUCGCUCUCCCCCGUGCCGCCGCCCGCCGCAUCCUCAGGUCUCACUGCCAUCGCCGCCGCUCCACCUCACACGCCGGCCGCUGCUCCCUGCCUCCGGCGGCCGCCCCGCAGCCGCUGCCGGCCUGAAUCGGUUUCAUGGCUCCUCAUGAGCCUGCCCCCAAGCUAACCCUCUCCAAUCGAUGCUGCUGCCCAACGACGAAGACACCCGCCUAGAGUUCCAGAUUGGGAUUUUCCCCAGCUUCAGCACCCCUUGAGCCAAGCAUGGCUUGUCUCCCCCGAGUUCCUCCUUUCUGAUCAUCCCCUUUUCUCCCUACUUCUGUGAUGUGAUUUGAUUGGUACUCUCUUGUGUGAUAGCAUGCUCUGAAUUGUGAUGCUUGUGAACUAAUCCUAGCGACCAACUUGAUGAUGCUAUAAUCAGGAUUGUACUUACUGUUUCUAGGGUUCUAGAUAAAUUGGCUUGCUAGGGUUGGACGAAUAAAUUUCUGUAUGCCAUGAGUGAAUGAAUGAAUGCUGAUGCAAGUGCAGUACUGGAAUUAGAAAAGCUAAUGAAAAUCACACUAACAUAAUUAAGUCCUUGUAUAUGCUUGCAUGAUGAAAUAACUGAAUUUGGCACAACAGCAGGAUCAUAUUCUAGAAUAAAUCUUAUUGAAUGAUGCAGUAAUUUACAUGGUACUAUACUUUGAAAAUCAUGCCAAGAUAUGUACUAUAGAGAAUGGAACACCUUGAAUACAGAUAGAUGGUAACUGAUUUCUUUGGAUGAUUUACUGCUACUGACUGUAUGUCAUGACUAUAAUUUACUAGAUUAGAGUUGUUGAUGCAGGGAAAAAAAUAAACUAUUGAUUAACUAACUAUUUACUGUGGUUUUAUUCUGAGAGUAUGAUUUUAAACAUUCGUUCUGCUACACAAAUGAUUUGGUAGAAAAAAAAAACUUAUAUGUUCUGUUAAGUUAUUGAAAUUUAGUAGAACUACGACUAUUUAUCACUAUAUGCAUACUUAGAUGUACUUCUAUUGUCUCUUUUCUGUGUUUCGUAGUAAAGAACUAGAUACAUAUGCAAACUUAACCCAGAUUCAUAACCAACUGGUUUCGCAUGCUAUUCUACAAUUCAAAUGAUUAAUAAUUUAUGAUGGUUCCUCUAUUAAGUCUGGGUUGAUUUUCAAUACUUUUAAAUGAAAUCAGAUUAAUAUACACAUACCCUAACCUUUCCAAGAAUAUGCACAGCUUAGAUUUUACUUUGUUUGUAUGACCAAAAUCUGAAAGUUCUAUAUUUUUUUUUUAAGUGCACAUGCAUGAUCAACUAUCUGAAUAAAAUUCAUGUCUUUCUUUACUAAUUUCCCGUUCCUGGUUAUAUAAGCAGUUACAUUGUGAGUUUUUGACUGUGUACAUAGGCAUAGGUAGCUUAGUUUCAGCUACAGAGAUUGAGCAGAUUACAUUCUAUUGCUGUCUCAAAAGGUUUCUGAUGGACAUUAUGGUGUUACAACUAUCUUAAUUUCCAAGUUCUUAACGUAUGGGGCAAACUGAAAAGUGAUCUGUGCUCAUGCCAGAUCCUAACAGGGGACAAAUGAAGUGCAGUGUUAAAGUUGCAAUGGCAUU